UGAGGAAUAUUGGUCAAUGGACGCAAGUCUGAACCAGCCAAGUAGCGUGCAGGAUGACGGCCCUAUGGGUUGUAAACUGCUUUUAUAUGGGAAUAAAGUGAGGGACGUGUCCCUUAUUGCAUGGACCAUACGAAUAAGGACCGGCUAAUUCCGUGCCAGCAGCCGCGGUAAUACGGAAGGUCCAGGCGUUAUCCGGAUUUAUUGGGUUUAAAGGGAGCGUAGGCUGUUUGUUAAGCGUGUUGUGAAAUGUAGGAGCUCAACUUUUAGAUUGCAGCGCGAACUGGCAGACUUGAGUGCGCACAACGUAGGCGGAAUUCAUGGUGUAGCGGUGAAAUGCUUAGAUAUCAUGACGAACUCCGAUUGCGAAGGCAGCUUACGGGAGCGCAACUGACGCUAAAGCUCGAAGGUGCGGGUAUCGAACAGG
Molecule: ribosomal RNA, 424 nt
Filed under: Verrucomicrobiota bacterium
Lineage: Bacteria; Pseudomonadati; Verrucomicrobiota
Description: Verrucomicrobia bacterium partial 16S ribosomal RNA
Rfam family: Bacterial small subunit ribosomal RNA
Source: RNAcentral